AAGAAUCUGUGCAGGUUGUCA
Molecule: non-coding RNA, 21 nt
Filed under: Arabidopsis thaliana (thale cress)
Lineage: Eukaryota; Viridiplantae; Streptophyta; Magnoliopsida; Brassicales; Brassicaceae
Source: RNAcentral